UUGCACCUACGGGAGGCAGCAGUGAGGAAUAUUGGUCAAUGGACGAGAGUCUGAACCAGCCAAGUCGCGUGAGGGAAGACUGCCCUAUGGGUUGUAAACCUCUUUUGUCAGGGAGCAACGCCGGCUACGUGUAGCCGGACUGAGAGUACCUGAAGAAAAAGCAUCGGCUAACUCCGUGCCAGCAGCCGCGGUAAUACGGAGGAUGCGAGCGUUAUCCGGAUUUAUUGGGUUUAAAGGGUGCGUAGGCGGAAUGCCAAGUCAGCGGUAAAAUCGCGGGG
This 278-nucleotide ribosomal RNA is filed under the name uncultured bacterium. RNAcentral's name for it is "partial 16S ribosomal RNA". It matches the Rfam family "Bacterial small subunit ribosomal RNA", at positions 333 to 607 of the family's 1533-position model. The record is from RNAcentral.